GCGGAAGUCAUGGGCCCCAUAGAUAAGCAGAGGGAUCAAUGGGGCUCUAUGUGGUGCCCAUAGGGAUCAGUGGGGCUCUAGGGCGUGUUCAUAGGGAUCAAUGGGGAUCAAUGGGGUGCCCAUAGGGAUCAAUGGGGCUCUAUGGGGUGCCCAUAGAGAUCAAUGGGGUGCCCAUAGGGAUCAAUGGGGUGCCCAUAGGGAUCAAUGGGGCUCUAUGGGGUGCCCUUAGGGAUCAAUGGGGCUCUAUGGGGUGCCCAUAGGAAUCAAUGGGGUGCCCAUAGGGAUCAAUGGGGCACCCACAGAGAUUAAUGGGGUUCUAAAGGGUGCCCAUAGGGAUCAGUGGGGCUCUAUGGGGUGCCCAUAGGGAUCAAUGGGGCUCUAUGGUGUGCCCAUAGAGAUCAAUGGGGUGGCCAUAGGGAUCAAUGGGGGUCUAUA
This is a long non-coding RNA of Neopsephotus bourkii (Bourke's parrot), 435 nucleotides long. RefSeq lists it as uncharacterized. NCBI's taxonomy places the organism in Eukaryota, Metazoa, Chordata, Aves, Psittaciformes, Psittacidae. The record is from RefSeq and is a predicted model, not a curated record. The transcript is spliced from 4 exons.